This is a long non-coding RNA of Sciurus carolinensis (gray squirrel), 656 nucleotides long. RefSeq lists it as uncharacterized. Lineage: Eukaryota; Metazoa; Chordata; Mammalia; Rodentia; Sciuridae. The record is from RefSeq and is a predicted model, not a curated record. The transcript is spliced from 3 exons.
GGUUGCUGAGUGGGUGGAGAAGGCCUUGGGCGGAGCCGCCUCCUCCCUCUUCCUGAGUCACUGUGUGGGUCUUCAGCAGGCCUCUGCUGCCUCUGGCCUUGGGCUUUGCCACCUUUGGAGAGAGGGACGCUUCCGCGCCACGGGAUGGAGAAGCCGCUAAGGCUGAUGUGACCCAAGCCAAGCGGCCACGGCCAAGAGUACUGGGCGCUGUGCGGGGACUCCCAUUUCGUCCCUGGAGAACACGUGCUCCUGCGGGAGCAGUCAGCCCCGGGGGGCAUCUUUCCAGCCCAGCUGCCGGUCCCCUCUUCUGACCCCAGCCGCGUGCCCCUGGCAGAAAUUCCAGUUCAUCUCAGCUCUCCACACCCAAGAAAAAGCAGAAAAGACAAAGCACUUAAAAAAAAAAAGAAGAAGAAGGACGCUUUGAGUCAGAGACAACUGAAUUAACUUUAUUCUCUUCUAACUGCAGAUUCAAGAAACACUGAAAUUACAAAGAAACGCAUCAAUCUACACGAAACAAGGCAGAUGCGGAAAGCUGCAACCAGGACAACUCUGAGUGAACUGCUUCAGAGAACAGGAAGAACUGGCAAGCAGGACCUGGGGGUGGGGGGCGCGGGGUGGCAAGAGGAAGGGAGGGAAGAGGGGGUGACCAGGAGAGG